This 66-nucleotide transfer RNA is filed under the name Upogebia affinis. Its description in RNAcentral is "tRNA-Phe". It matches the Rfam family "tRNA". From Rfam's summary of the family: Transfer RNA (tRNA) molecules are approximately 80 nucleotides in length. Their secondary structure includes four short double-helical elements and three loops (D, anti-codon, and T loops). Lineage: Eukaryota; Metazoa; Arthropoda; Malacostraca; Decapoda; Upogebiidae. The record is from RNAcentral.
AUUCAUAUAAUUCAAAUUUAGAAUAUUGCAUUGAAGCUGCAAAAGUAAUCGUUCGAUUUGUGAAUA